Molecule: long non-coding RNA, 213 nt
Organism: Saccostrea cuccullata (small rock oyster)
Lineage: Eukaryota; Metazoa; Mollusca; Bivalvia; Ostreida; Ostreidae
Exons: 4
Source: RefSeq, a predicted model, not a curated record
CAGUGUGUUGAUUGAAACAGAAAGAAAAAGAGAAUGAUAAUAAAAGUUCAAUAACAGAAAUUCAAUAUCUGAAAUCUCAACCAAAAUUAGAAACUAACAACUGGAAUCGAAGUGUGUUGAUUGAACAUUUUCAUCUAUAAAAUAAAAAAAAAUAGACAAAGAAGAAGAGAAAGAUAAUAAAAGUUCAAUACCAGUGUGUUGAUUGAACAUAUC